GAUGAACGCUGGCGGCGUGCCUAAUACAUGCAAGUCGAGCGAACGGACGAGAAGCUUGCUUCUUUGAUGUUAGCGGCGGACGGGUGAGUAACACGGGGAUAACCUACCUAUAAGACUGGGAUAACUUCGGGAAACCGGAGCUAAUACCGGAUGAUAUUUUGAACCGCAUGGUUCCAAAGUGAAAGACGGUCUUGCUGUCACUUAUAGAUGGAUCCGCGCUGCAUUAGCUAGUUGGUAAGGUAACGGCUUACCAAGGCAACGAUGCAUAGCCGACCUGAGAGGGUGAUCGGCCACACUGGAACUGAGACACGGUCCAGACUCCUACGGGAGGCAGCAGUAGGGAAUCUUCCGCAAUGGGCGAAAGCCUGACGGAGCAACGCCGCGUGAGUGAUGAAGGUCUUCGGAUCGUAAAACUCUGUUAUUAGGGAAGAACAUAUGUGUAAGUAACUGUGCACAUCUUGACGGUACCUAAUCAGAAAGCCACGGCUAACUACGUG
RNAcentral lists this ribosomal RNA (497 nucleotides) under uncultured bacterium. RNAcentral describes it as "partial 16S ribosomal RNA". It matches the Rfam family "Bacterial small subunit ribosomal RNA", at positions 28 to 507 of the family's 1533-position model. The record is from RNAcentral.